CGGCUCGCCCUUCAAAUUUCAAUACGUCAUUCCCCAAAAACUACUUAAAAAAUGCGAGAAAGAACCCAAGAAAAGAAAAACAAGCUCUGCACCGAAUCCCAAUUCCAGCCAAUUAUCAGCAGUAUUCCUGAUGAUAUUUUGCUUGAAAUAUUCACGAGGCUUCCGGUCAGAUCCCUGAUGAGGCUCAGCUGCGUUUCGACAUCUUGGCAUUCCUUGAUCUCUAGCCCCGAUCUCGUUAAAUCCCAUCACAAAAGAUUGACGGAAGACAAGGAAAACGAGCAUCGCAGGAUCGUGUUCGUUAAGGUUGAGAGGCAAAUUAGUAUGAGGCUCGGGCUCAACCUUAGGCUCGGGCAGUUUGAGUGUUCCCUUCACAGUGCUUUUUCCUGUGCGGUACCCGACAAAAUUGAGGUAACCAACAACUGCGUUAUUAGUUUUCCUGCAGAACGCUACGGCUUUAGUACAUUUAAAAUUGUGGGUUCUUGUUAUGGGUUGGUUUUGAUCAUGGUUGAUGAAGAAAUUAUGUUGUUGUGGAAUCCAGCUACAAGAAAAUAUAGAAAGUUGCCUGAUUUUGGAAUUAAAAUGGAGCAUAAGUUUUCCGCUUAUUCUUGCUUGUCAUGUGGGAUUGGUUAUGAUGAGUCUAAUGAUGAUUUUAAGGUACUUGUACUUUCCUGUGUUUUCUAUGCUGGUAUGCAGCAUGAGACUCUGGCUAAGGUUUAUAGCCGGAAGACAGAUUCUUGGAAGAAGAUUGAGGAUCUUAAGUACUGUUUGAUUGAGCAGGGCUGUUAUUAUGUGAAUGGGAUAUUCCACUUUACUCAUUAUGAUCUUCUAAGUCGUGCUGCUUGGAAUAUAACUUUUGAGCGGAAAAUUGUUGGUUUUGAUUUGGUGAAUGACAUUUUUAAAGAGAUAGAACUCCCUGAAGAGGUUAAUAAUUAUGAUAACUGGAAUUUAGGAACAUUAGAAGGAUGCCUUUCAUUAUUGGUUUGUUGCAGAGGCAAUCAGGUGAAUCUGUGGAUUAUGAAGGAAUAUGGAGUGAAAGAAUCUUGGACUAAAAUGGUUGUGAUUUCUUGUUUUCAAGAUCCUGAUAGUAAUUUAUUGAGUAUGCCUUUGAUCUUAUCGGAGGAUGGUCAACUUUUAUUUGUGACUUGGCCAAGCCCAAAGUUGGGAGUUUAUGAUCCAAAUCAGAAUUCACUCAAGUAUUCUCGGUUUAGUAACUUUAAUAAAGAUCUUUAUGGAGCAUAUGUGUUUGUUGAAAGCUUAGUUUCUCCCUGAUGCUGUUCAUGGAGUUCAAAGGGACUGGAAUCAAUGAGAGGUCCCAUGGAGCUAUAAUGCAUAGUGCAUUGCAUGGUUUGUCCUACAUUAAAGAUGGCUGACGCCCCUUAUGACAUAGUUGUGCACUACAAGAAUGAAAAGGCAAUUAUUAGGAAUGUGAACCCUAACA
RNA transcript from Coffea eugenioides, 1438 nucleotides. It is a transcript of the gene named F-box/kelch-repeat protein At3g23880-like, with no coding region annotated. Lineage: Eukaryota; Viridiplantae; Streptophyta; Magnoliopsida; Gentianales; Rubiaceae. The transcript is spliced from 3 exons. The record is from RefSeq and is a predicted model, not a curated record.